This 397-nucleotide ribosomal RNA is filed under the name uncultured bacterium. RNAcentral's name for it is "bacterial SSU rRNA". It matches the Rfam family "Bacterial small subunit ribosomal RNA", at positions 64 to 507 of the family's 1533-position model. The record is from RNAcentral.
GAGCGCCGUAGCAAUACGGAGCGGCAAACGGGAGAGUAACACGUGGGAACGUGCCCUUCAGUUCGGAACAACCCAGGGAAACUUGGGCUAAUACCGGAUACGUCCGUAAGGAGAAAGAUUUAUCGCUGAAGGAUCGGCCCGCGUCUGAUUAGCUUGUUGGUGAGGUAACGGCUCACCAAGGCGACGAUCAGUAGCUGGUCUGAGAGGAUGAUCAGCCUCACUGGGACUGAGACACGGCCCAGACUCCUACGGGAGGCAGCAGUGGGGAAUAUUGGACAAUGGGCGCAAGCCUGAUCCAGCCAUGCCGCGUGGAUGAUGAAGGCCCUAGGGUUGUAAAGUCCUUUCGGCGGGGAAGAUAAUGACGGUACCCGCAGAAGAAGCCCCGGCUAACUUCGUG